CUUGCUGGGUGGAUUAGUGGCGAACGGGUGAGUAACACGUGAGUAACCUGCCCUUAACUCUGGGAUAAGCCUGGGAAACUGGGUCUAAUACCGGAUAGGAGCGCCCACCGCAUGGUGGGUGUUGGAAAGAUUUAUCGGUUUUGGAUGGACUCGCGGCCUAUCAGCUUGUUGGUGAGGUAAUGGCUCACCAAGGCGACGACGGGUAGCCGGCCUGAGAGGGUGACCGGCCACACUGGGACUGAGACACGGCCCAGACUCCUACGGGAGGCAGCAGUGGGGAAUAUUGCACAAUGGGCGAAAGCCUGAUGCAGCGACGCCGCGUGAGGGAUGACGGCCUUCGGGUUGUAAACCUCUUUCAGUAG
Molecule: ribosomal RNA, 362 nt
Filed under: Micrococcus luteus
Lineage: Bacteria; Bacillati; Actinomycetota; Actinomycetes; Micrococcales; Micrococcaceae
Description: bacterial SSU rRNA
Rfam family: Bacterial small subunit ribosomal RNA
Source: RNAcentral